RNAcentral lists this transfer RNA (77 nucleotides) under Klebsiella pneumoniae. RNAcentral's name for it is "tRNA-Val". It matches the Rfam family "tRNA". From Rfam's summary of the family: Transfer RNA (tRNA) molecules are approximately 80 nucleotides in length. Their secondary structure includes four short double-helical elements and three loops (D, anti-codon, and T loops). Further hydrogen bonds mediate the characteristic L-shaped molecular structure. tRNAs have two regions of fundamental functional importance: the anti-codon, which is responsible for specific mRNA codon recognition, and the 3' end, to which the tRNAs corresponding amino acid is attached (by aminoacyl-tRNA synthetases). tRNAs cope with the degeneracy of the genetic code in two manners: having more than one tRNA (with a specific anti-codon) for a particular amino acid; and 'wobble' base-pairing, i.e. permitting non-standard base-pairing at the 3rd anti-codon position. The record is from RNAcentral. Lineage: Bacteria; Pseudomonadati; Pseudomonadota; Gammaproteobacteria; Enterobacterales; Enterobacteriaceae.
GCGUUCAUAGCUCAGUUGGUUAGAGCACCACCUUGACAUGGUGGUGGUCGUUUUUUCGUGUCCAAUUUAAAGCACAA